CAUUUAUAUUUAAUACUAAGGUUUAGUGAAUAAAAUCUAAAGUAUAUUAUUUUAAAUAUAUAACGCUGUCCGCCAUGUUGUUUUAUAAUACGCUUAAGGAAGCCAUUUUGAUUUACUAAAUGCGCAGUUGCGCGGCCCCGAUUGGGUCGGGUAUAUAAAGGGGCCAUGACGUCAGCCACGUAGCUCAAUAAUUUUUCGUCGUGGUGCAGUGCGGACGUCUGGAAUUGUGAAGUGUACUAGAAAAUUCUUUUGUGCCUGGUCUGAUUCAGUCCCAUUGCGUUUCGCGUGGGUCUGGAUCCGACGGCCGCCAUCUUGGCUGCCGCUGGGGCGUGGUCGCAGCUAACUACGAAAUGGGUUUGUAACGGUAUCAUGCAUUUAAUUAGUUAAUUUAUUUUAAAUUGUUGAUGAAUAUUUCAGUUUUCUAUUGUGAAAUAGUCUAUUGGAAUCAAAGUUUUAUUCAUAUUGAAUAUUAAAUUGUAACAUAUGUUUAAGUAUGAUGAAUAAAAAAUAUUUUUGAAGUAUUAAUGUCUUGGAUUUUAUUUCAAAUCAUAUAUUGUUGUUAUUGGAAUUUCACCCGCCAUGUAUUAUUCCAUGAGUCAUCACCGACUUGAAGAACGAGGUAGCAGUCGUGAAGGUGACGAAAUAGCAGUAUGAGAGAGCACUACCACGUGACACUGCAGUGCGGUCUCGUGAGGCUGCUUUAACGGCAUGGCUUGCGGCCCUGCAUAGAAAUAUCGACGCGAGCAUUUUACAUCUCUGCCGGUAUCAACUAUCAGCCCGCUUUAGGUAAAAGUUAGGAGAUUGCGCAAUGAUUUCAUCAGUUAUGGAACGAAUGUCAUGUACCCGUUCGCGGGCAUUUUCCAUGUGUAUUAUUUCCGAGUCUCAGAAAGGCAGGGUCGUGGAGUUGGCAACGUGCUCGCUCUACCCACGCUAUCCGGCCAACAUUGAUGAAUGGCGUUUAUGAGGCAAGCCGAAAUUAGCAACAUUAAAUUGCUCUGGCCAAGAUUGUUUUUAGUGUCGGUGAGUCCGAGCCUAACAAACUAGACAUGUUAAGAUGUAUUGUGACAAUGUAUAAUAUUUAUUAUUUGAUAAAUUUGAUUCGAAUUGAAUUUAAACAGGCCUUGUCAAUUGUAUAAGUUAACAAAAGUAUUUCGAGGAUUUAAGUUUUCCUAAAGUAUCAUUUAGCGCCAUGGAAAUGACAUUAUGUACUAAUCAAUCGCAAAGCAUAUGGAACCUGGAACAAAUGCACUAAUUUUAUUUUUAAAUAAAUUUGUAAUUAUUAUUGUAUAUGAUGAACUAUUGGCCGAGUAUCUUAGUGAAAGCCAAAUAAUUUUGAAACUAGAUGUAUGUGAAAUAAAAGUAGGUAAAACAUUCAUAUGAGGUAGAAAUAUUGGUAAGUUUAGACACCUGCUAGAGUUAUUGUGUUAUAAUACAAGUAAUAAAUAUUUGUAUCAACUCCACAGCUUAUCGCGUGCUUGCGGGAUGAACGUUCAAGAAUAUACAUUGAUAGAUAAUCCUAUAUAAAUAAAUAUAUUCCGGAACGAUGCUAGCAUCCCAUUUUGAAAUUUAUUCAUAAAAAUCUUAGGGCUACACAAAAACAGACAAAGCGAAGACGUGACUUUGAAACUGUAUCUACAUUAGAAUGAUAAACACGGGUGAAUAAAAAUCAAGAUACUAAAUAGGUAAGUGGUAAAAUCCCUCAACAGGGAGAACUCCACGUCGUCAAAUUCUACAGAACUGGUUUACUAUCAUACUUCCUGAAACUUGCUAAUGAUGGAAUACUUGGUAACAUACUUCAUUAUGAAGAUUUAUCAUAUUAUGAAUCUCCUUGACGGGACAACCGUCUUCGUUGUGUUAAAAAAUAUGUCCAGGUCAUAAGAUCCUCCAUUGAAGACUUUGCAGUGGAGGAAGAACACAAUUCUCAUACUUAAGGGUGGCCGUUGGCAGACUGAAAAGUGACCCGAGCUAAUCACCUGACACCAUUGUAGUGAAUGCAUCUUAGCAACGGAAAAUUAAAGAUACAAUUGAACCUGAUCCACGCCUAAGCUUGGAUCGCUUGUACGGUAACAUAGCUGAUUAGCAGUUAAUAACAUUAUAUUACAAUUUAAUCAGACAAUUGAAGAAUGAAAUUGUAGGUAUUUAAGUCUGUUCUAUUUUAUAAUUUUUUAGCCCAGGUUCCAUUAGACAUACUUAUAUAUAUUAUAAUUUUUUAUUGACCCAAGCCUGACUGGCCAGCGGACUGAUAGUUGGAUUUCUCAAAAUUGUCAUUCUUAAAAUUCUUCUGCUACACCUACUUGACUAGAUCCAGUUAUUAAAUCGACUGCUAAGCUUUUCCGUGGAAUGAUUGGACUCAUCAAGGAAUUAUAAUAACCGGUAUACAAUAGGAAUCCUACUUAUUCAACAGAUAAGUGUAUAUUCUCUAAAUCUUCGCAUGAUUGGAAAGUUGAAAUUAUUAUUAUUUCACGAAUUUUUGAGCGGAAAUGUCCUUGUUUGGUGGACAUAGCUAAAUAUUUUUAUGGUUAACAAUAUAAUGGAAGUAAUGAAAUUGUGUAUAGAGUUAUAAAACGUAUAAAGAAUGAUUUUGGAAUUAAGUGAAUCUAGUAAAUACAAUUAAGUAAAAUAUUCAAAGGUAAGUGGCCUAAACAAGAGUUGCUACCACCAGCGAGUAUGUUAUAUAUUAGAAUGGUAUGCCUUUAUGGCAGGUGGUAAUAAGCUUAUUUUCAGAUAUCAUAAAUGUAAAGUUAUAGCGAACCCAACUAUACACAGCAUAGUCUUAAGCGAUUUACUUGAACGAUAUCUACCUACAAUAAAGUUUAUCAAAAACAUAACCUCUUAAUAUUGUAACACCGAGGAUGGAAAUAUAAGCUUCUAUGUGAAUGUUGUCAAGGAAGUGAUGAAAGGUACGAGAAUGCUUGCAUGUUGCUUUUAUACAAUUAAACAUUGAGAUUGAUCUCUAUUAGCUUUGAACAUUUUGUAUAUAGUUUUUUUUUUGGAAUACUCAAAAUGAUAGGACACGAUGUAAUGCUAUUUAGAAAGGUCUAGAAUACAACCAAUUCGCCACCUGUAGUUGAAGAAAGGCUACGCAUACGCUACAUCUUGAAAACUAUAUUACAUGCUUGGGCUUUAUAAUAAACCAGGAAAGUUGUCUGACCGAAAAGAAUAUGUAUGAUAAUUUCUGGAUUAAAAUGUAUUUUCCAAAUUGCCGUGUGACGUGGCGACCUACCGAUGAAAUAUAGUUUUGCAGUCUGAAUACAGGAAUGCAGAACAUUUCCAAAGGGAUGUUUUAAGACAAAACUGUAUGGUAUGAGUAAUUUAUGUUUUCCCUUUAAUUUUACAAUUGAACAGUAUGAUCGAAAAACUGAAAAGUUUCUGCUAUCUUCUAAGAGAAAUGUGCCUAUGCUGAUUGACUAUGCAAAAGGUUAUAGUAUAAAGUGCUUAUUGAAAGAAAAGUUAUUUCGAGUCCAUUGUAAAUGGAAGUACACUUAAACAAAAUUAUACAAAAGGGUAACGAUUGUUUAGAAAGCCUAAAAUGCUGUAAAAGAGAGAAUAAUUAAAUAGAUCAUGAAUAACUUUUUUUGGUGUUCAACUACAUGAUCAAGGUGCUAAAUUAGUUUGGUACCUACUAACACUAGUUAUAUCAAGAAAAAUUUGUACAAGAAAACUAAACAAUGGCAAAGCAAAUUAUGACAACCAGUUACAUGAAAAUACUUUUAAGCAUAUGCUAAAUUAUGGCAUGAAAAUUUGUUACAAUGUUAUUAUACAAAGGAUAUCAAUUACGGAUGUUUACAACUUGAGAUGAAUUGAUUGAUUUUUAUCAAAUUCGAUAAAAGCAGUGCGCAAAGCAAUGAAUCAUUACGCUUGAGCCCCCAGCUAUCUACAAUUUUAUGGUCUCGUUUGAACUCUCAAAUUUGCAACUGGUGUGAAUGAUCUAAUUCUACUCUUAAAUUACAACAUAGAUACAGUUAUAUAGGUAUAUUCCAGCUUUUCCAACAAGGCAAGUUUUGUUUACCUGGGAGUAUUUUUUUUGUAUACUCGUAACAUUUGAAUAAAAUUACAUAAACUAUGUAAAUUUA
Molecule: long non-coding RNA, 4073 nt
Organism: Danaus plexippus (monarch butterfly)
Lineage: Eukaryota; Metazoa; Arthropoda; Insecta; Lepidoptera; Nymphalidae
Exons: 3
Source: RefSeq, a predicted model, not a curated record